RNAcentral lists this ribosomal RNA (253 nucleotides) under uncultured bacterium. RNAcentral describes it as "partial 16S ribosomal RNA". It matches the Rfam family "Bacterial small subunit ribosomal RNA", at positions 524 to 776 of the family's 1533-position model. The record is from RNAcentral.
UACGGAGGGUGCAAGCGUUGUCCGGAUUUAUUGGGUGUAAAGGGUGUGCAGGCGGGACGGUAAGUCAGAGGUGAAAGCCCGCAGCUUAACUGUGGAAUUGCCUUUGAUACUGCCGACCUUGAGUCCCGGAGAGGUGGCUGGAAUUCGUGGUGUAGCGGUGAAAUGCGUAGAUAUCACGAGGAACACCAAAGGCGUAGGCAGGUCACUGGACGGGUACUGACGCUGAGGCACGAAAGCGUGGGGAGCAAACAGG